Molecule: small RNA, 479 nt
Filed under: Phoma sp. R8-14
Lineage: Eukaryota; Fungi; Ascomycota; Dothideomycetes; Pleosporales; Didymellaceae
Description: eukaryotic LSU rRNA
Rfam family: 5.8S ribosomal RNA (bases 133-286)
Source: RNAcentral
GUAGGCUUUGCCUGCUAUCUCUUACCCAUGUCUUUUGAGUACCUUACGUUUCCUCGGUGGGUUCGCCCACCGAUUGGACAAAUUUAAACCCUUUGCAGUUGAAAUCAGCGUCUGAAAAAACUUAAUAGUUACAACUUUCAACAACGGAUCUCUUGGUUCUGGCAUCGAUGAAGAACGCAGCGAAAUGCGAUAAGUAGUGUGAAUUGCAGAAUUCAGUGAAUCAUCGAAUCUUUGAACGCACAUUGCGCCCCUUGGUAUUCCAUGGGGCAUGCCUGUUCGAGCGUCAUUUGUACCUUCAAGCUCUGCUUGGUGUUGGGUGUUUGUCUCCUGUAGACUCGCCUUAAAACAAUUGGCAGCCGGCGUAUUGAUUUCGGAGCGCAGUACAUCUCGCGCUUUGCACUCAUAACGACGACAUCCAAAAGUACAUUUUUACACUCUUGACCUCGGAUCAGGUAGGGAUACCCGCUGAACUUAAGCAU